RNAcentral lists this long non-coding RNA (338 nucleotides) under Sarcophilus harrisii (Tasmanian devil). Its description in RNAcentral is "lncRNA (ENSSHAG00000027629.1)". Lineage: Eukaryota; Metazoa; Chordata; Mammalia; Dasyuromorphia; Dasyuridae. The record is from RNAcentral.
CUAAGAUCUUGAUAAGAUGGUAUCUGAUAUUCUGAUAGAUUGGGAUGAGGAGAGGCAUUCUGAUAUUCUAAAACAUAAGAUCUUUUAUCUUUAUCAAAUAUUCUGAGCCUCUGGGAAAGAGCAGUUUUCAGCCACAAUGCCUGAUGGUGGACACCUCCAUUUAGCUAUGGAAGAAUCUGGUCUGAAACCCCUGCAGGAUAAUGGUGAAAAAAAGCCCAGACAGGAGAGCCAAUUCACUGAGAGAACAGCUCAAGAGAGUCAGACAGAUGUUGGUCAAGACCAAUAGAAGCUGCUGCCAAUUCCAGUUCUGCCAGUGGAAUUACUUAAAAAGACUGUCA